RNAcentral lists this long non-coding RNA (1324 nucleotides) under Felis catus (domestic cat). RNAcentral describes it as "lncRNA (ENSFCAG00000049602.1)". The record is from RNAcentral. Lineage: Eukaryota; Metazoa; Chordata; Mammalia; Carnivora; Felidae.
CCCACUUUGCCCAUCCCCCGCCCCCCAUGUCCAUCCCCUCUGGCAACCUUUUCAUGAGCCAAAUUUCAACAACAGCUGUUGAACGGUAUUUAAAGGGUGCAUUAUUUGUAGAAAUCUCUUUUCAGGAGUACUGGAAAUUUUUAACUUUUAUAUAUUAGCUGAAAGAAAAAGAAGGCACUUUAUUAUAUUCCAAUAAGCCCUCUCCACCCCUUUUGUUUCUUGAUGUGAUACUGGUUCUCUAGCUUUCUUCCCCCCCCCUUCCCUUCCUCCUCCUCUUCCUCCCCUUCCUCCUCCUCCUCCUCCUCCUCCUCUUAUAAAAUAACUUCACCAUCUUUACUAGUGCAAACCUCACAUUGAUUCUGAUGAAAGAAGCAAUAGAAUUUCUGGACACUGUGUACUUUUAGAUAAUGCACCUCUACAAUGAAUCAGUUUCUUUUUCUAAUUUUGCAGAUCAUUUAGCAAAGUGUACAUCCUACAAUGGAUUGUGUAAGUGCUUUUUCAUGUGUGAGCUUAUUAUAAUUCCUUUGGAAAUUUUUCUUUGUGAUUUUAACAUCCUCUGGGGUAGGGUGCUAAUGUUCUGUAUUUGCUUUUGUUUUUAUUUUGCUCUGGUUGCCUUUUAAAUCCAACAGUCACUUCUCUUUCCUCGUGAUAAUCACUUCUGUUAUGAUCUGAGAGCAUUUUGUUUUUCUUCACUGUAAUCCUAGCUGAUUGUACAAUAUCUUCAUUGUUGCUCAGUAAGUCUGGAGGUUUCAGCUGCAGGGUCCAAACAUGAUGAGCUUCAGUCAUGGCUACUGACGGGGUCUCAGGCUUUCAGCUGGUCUUUGGAACAACCUUAUGUACUGCCUUUAAUAUCAUGUCAUUGGACAUUUGUUCUUCUGGAUGAUCUGAUGGAGAUUACACUUCAGAAUCACUUCCUUGGAAUGCCAAAGAUGCAUUUUCCUCUCAUUCAUUAAGGAGGAAAAAAGAAAGAAAAUAUAAAAUGAAUGAAUUGAAGAGUCUGCCUGACAGAGUCUGCAUCGUCACCCUCCCAGUAGAUGAGCUUUCAAGCAAACCUCCAGGAGAAGCAAAACCUUUCCAGGAAACCCGUGUCUUUGCAAACAAGGACAGCAGGUUUCUCUGUACUGUCGCUGCUCGCUCUCCCAUCUGGGAAUCGGUUUGCCUUUCUAUAGCAGCCCAGGAAGGGGUGGUGCGCCCCAAGUUAGCAAGGCUCUGCCAAAUACCAGAGGCUCUUCUUUGGAAGAGGGAGGCUCCUCCUUUGGACGGGAGGCGCCCCUACCAGAGCGCGCGCUUACAGAAACGGAAACCACUAGCUGCGCUGAAGUGA